This 258-nucleotide ribosomal RNA is filed under the name uncultured bacterium. RNAcentral describes it as "partial 16S ribosomal RNA". It matches the Rfam family "Bacterial small subunit ribosomal RNA", at positions 524 to 776 of the family's 1533-position model. The record is from RNAcentral.
UACAGAGGGUGCGAGCGUUAAUCGGAAUUACUGGGCGUAAAACGCGCGCAGGCGGUCCUUUAAGUCUGAUGUGAAAGCCCACGGCUCAACCGUGGAGGGUCAUUGGAAACUGGGGGACUUGAGUACAGAAGAGAAGAGUGGAAUUGACCACUGUGUAGCGGUGAAAUGCGUAGAAGAUGUGGAGGAACACCAGUGGCGAAGGCGACUCUUUGGUCUGUAAUCUGACGCUGAGGCGCGAAAGCGUGGGGAGCAAACAGG